CACACUGCUCAGUGUUCUGCUGAAUGCUUAUUCAGGAGAGUUUAACAAUGGUUUUAUGACGGCAGAAUAAUACAAGCAAGCACUGGUGGAGGUAUUCAGUAUUAACGCUGAAAAAUGACUUCAUGCUAAUGGCGGCGUGAUCCAAGGAAAAUGGGAAAGAUUGGACUUUCCAUUGGAUAACAAGCAUCCUAUUUUUCCAGGCUCGGUGUGCAAGGAAACACCGCUACGGCUGCACGGUUAGCGUAGCGUCUCAUCAUUGAUCUUUGCUGAUGUAGACUGUUUCUGGGGCCUUUUUCAUCAGAGAAGGAGGAGAGAGAGGGAGAGUCUGGGCACCCUCCCCUCACCGCGUCCCUCUCAGACAGGCUGCCUAUUGGUGGAAGAGGCCACCUGGAGCAAGUUUGGAGGUGUUGUUUAUGCUAAAGCUAUUACUCUCUGGCUGGGCAGCCUGCCCCGAGAGCUGGACUGGUCUGCUGCUACUGAAUUAUUCAGGCCAGAGAGCUGCCAUCCUAUGUAUACAAGCUGUCACAUGUAGCUGAAUGAUACGCUGAUUGUCUGGCAAUGAGGAGUUUGUUACCUAGAGUUUAAAUAUGUGAUAGAUUUAUAUGGAAGCUGUACGCCUGUGACGUAAUAUCUAGUAUAUGAUGAAAUGUCGGGCUUGUCGUUUGGUUAUGUCACGGCCUCAUUAAACAGUCCUGACAAUGCAGGACACCCAACUUGAGGCGAAACUGGGUUACACAGUCUAGCUUCCACAAUAGACUGAAUGAUGACAACAUCUCACAUACCAGAGGUCCAGGCACCAGAAACCUCAUCUGCUUCAAGAAUAGCCACAGCCUCGCAGCAACUGCCGCUUCUCUGACCUAUAAUAACAUGUCAUGGGACCUCGAGCAUCAUUUCAUCCUGCGCUGAGUUUAUAAACUUCAUCUUUCCUGCCACUACAAGUUUCCAGAAGAAUUCACCUCAAACACGUGAUCCUGGAUUUCUCUCUUCUAUUUACACAGAGCCCAGUGUGAUAAGUGGUGUGUGUGUGUGUACGUGGAGGUAUGCCUGUGUCCUCUUCAUCACCGUUGCAGCGAGCUCGGCUCCGGAGGAGAACAGCAGGGCCUUUCUUUAGGUGGAGGAUUGAAUCAGUGAUGACAGUCUCAUGACAUCUUCCUCUCUCUGACACACACAAACACACAUACACACACACACACACACACACACACACACUGUCUGGUGUGUUGCUAUCCUACUGUGCAACACAUACACAACACGGGUCAGUAGGUCAAAGUUGGGUGGCAAAAUGCCAUAUUGGAAGGUGCUUUUCAUAACAUGAUGUACACUGUUUAUGUCACAAAAUAAUUCAUCUUCAACCAGUUACUUAAGUGUGUGUGUGUGUGUGUGUGUGUGUGUGUGUGUGUGUGUGUGUGUGUGUGUGUGUGUGUGUGUGUGUGAGUGUGUGUAGGAGAAAGUAAGUGAUAAAUUACCAAAUACAACACAAUAUAAUAUUACAUCUAAAAAAUAUUUUCUUGGACAAAUAAAUACAUCCAAAUAUUAAAAAAAAUAUAUACAUUAAAUUUCCAACCUGCAUUGUGUUCAGGUAAACAAA
Molecule: long non-coding RNA, 1588 nt
Organism: Dicentrarchus labrax (European seabass)
Lineage: Eukaryota; Metazoa; Chordata; Actinopteri; Moronidae
Exons: 2
Source: RefSeq, a predicted model, not a curated record